UCCGCACGGUUUUCCGGGAUUCACUGGGCGUAAGCGUGUGCAGGCGGUUCGGUAAGUUGGGCGUGAAAUCUCCCGGCUUAACUGGGAUAGGUCGUUCAAUACUACCGGACUAGAGAGCAGUAGAGGAAGAUGGAAUUCCCGGUGUAGUGGUGAAAUGCGUAGAUAUCGGGAGGAACACCAGUGGCGAAGGCGAUCUUCUGGACUGCGUCUGACGCUCAUACACGAAAGCUAGGGUAGUAAACGGGAUUAGAGACCCCGGUAAUCCUAGCUGUAAACGAUGUGAACUUGGCGUUGGUGGCUUAAACACCAUCAGUGCCGAAGCAAACGCGAUAAGUUCACCGCCUGGGGACUACGAUCGCAAGAUUAAAACUCAAAGGAAUUGACGGGGGCCCGCACAAGCAGCGGAGCGUGUGGUUUAAUUCGAUGCUACACGAAGAACCUUACCUGGGCUUGACAUGCAAGUGGUAGGGAUCCGAAAGGUGACCGACCCGCAAGGGAGCUUGCACAGGUGGUGCAUGGUUGUCGUCAGCUCGUGUCGUGAGAUGUUGGGUUAAGUCCCGCAACGAGCGCAACCCUUGUCCUUAGUUGCCAGCAUUUAGUUGGGCACUCUAGGGAGACUGCCGGUGACAAACCGGAGGAAGGUGGGGAUGACGUCAAAUCAUCAUGCCCCUUAUGACCUGGGCUACACACGUGCUACAAUGGAUGGUACAAAGAGUCGCAAACCCGCGAGGGCUAGCUAAUCUCAUAAAGCCAUUCUCAGUUCGGAUUGUAGGCUGCAACUCGCCUACAUGAAGCCGGAAUCGCUAGUAAUCGCAGAUCAGCACGCUGCGGUGAAUACGUUCCCGGGCCUUGUACACACCGCCCGUCACACCAUGGGAGUUGGCUUUACCUGAAGACGGUGCGCUAACCGCAAGGAAGCAGCCGGCCACGGUAGGGUCAGCGACUGGGGUGAAGUCGUAACAAGGUAAC
RNAcentral lists this ribosomal RNA (969 nucleotides) under uncultured bacterium. Its description in RNAcentral is "bacterial SSU rRNA". It matches the Rfam family "Bacterial small subunit ribosomal RNA", at positions 531 to 1500 of the family's 1533-position model. The record is from RNAcentral.